This 395-nucleotide unclassified non-coding RNA is filed under the name soil metagenome. RNAcentral describes it as "partial contains 5.8S ribosomal RNA, internal transcribed spacer 2, and large subunit ribosomal RNA". The stretch from base 1 to 120 matches the Rfam family "5.8S ribosomal RNA", at positions 35 to 154 of the family's 154-position model. The record is from RNAcentral.
GAUGAAGAACGUAGCGAAAUGCGAUAAGUAGUGUGAAUUGCAGAAUUCAGUGAAUCAUCGAAUCUUUGAACGCACAUUGCGCCUCCUGGCAUUCCGGGAGGCAUGCCUGUUCGAGCGUCAUCAAACCCCAUCGUGCAAAUGAAUUAUUUUUUUUGCGCGGAAGUGACGAUUGAGCGAGAAUAACAAAUCCUCUCGCACCUCGUCGAAAUGAUUGCGGGCGGAAUUUGGGAUCGGGUUCCUCGGCGUAGUGUAUCAAUGCAUAUUUAUGCAACUUGCCGCGGAGUUGAGCCUGACCCACGCGUUCUCGCCGUACAAACACCUCAUUACUUUACAAGUUUUUGACCUCGGAUCAGGUAGGGAUACCCGCUGAACUUAAGCAUAUCAAAAGCGGAGGA